Molecule: ribosomal RNA, 435 nt
Filed under: uncultured cyanobacterium
Lineage: Bacteria; Bacillati; Cyanobacteriota
Description: bacterial SSU rRNA
Rfam family: Bacterial small subunit ribosomal RNA
Source: RNAcentral
GAUGAACGCUGGCGGCGUGCUUAACACAUGCAAGUCGAACGAACCUUCGGGUUAGUGGCGGACGGGUGAGUAACGCGUGAGAAUCUGCCCUCAGGAGGGGGAUAACAGCUGGAAACGGCUGCUAAUACCCCAUAUGCCGCGAGGUGAAAUGAAUUUCGCCUGAGGAUGAGCUCGCGUCUGAUUAGCUAGUUGGUGUAGGUAAUGGCUCACCAAGGCAUCGAUCAGUAGCUGGUCUGAGAGGAUGAUCAGCCACACUGGGACUGAGACACGGCCCAGACUCCUACGGGAGGCAGCAGUGGGGAAUUUUCCGCAAUGGGCGAAAGCCUGACGGAGCAACGCCGCGUGAGGGAUGAAGGCCUCUGGGCUGUAAACCUCUUUUAUCAAGGAAGAAGAUCUGACGGUACUUGAUGAAUAAGCCACGGCUAAUUCCGUGCC